This 746-nucleotide ribosomal RNA is filed under the name uncultured bacterium. Its description in RNAcentral is "bacterial SSU rRNA". It matches the Rfam family "Bacterial small subunit ribosomal RNA", at positions 33 to 761 of the family's 1533-position model. The record is from RNAcentral.
ACGCUGGCGGCGUGCCUAAUACAUGCAAGUCGAGCGAACGGACGGGAAGCUUGCUUCUCUGAUGUUAGCGGCGGACGGGUGAGUAACACGUGGAUAACCUACCUAUAAGACUGGGAUAACUUCGGGAAACCGGAGCUAAUACCGGAUAAUAUUUUGAACCGCAUGGUUCAAAAGUGAAAGACGGUCUUGCUGUCACUUAUAGAUGGAUCCGCGCUGCAUUAGCUAGUUGGUAAGGUAACGGCUUACCAAGGCAACGAUGCAUAGCCGACCUGAGAGGGUGAUCGGCCACACUGGAACUGAGACACGGUCCAGACUCCUACGGGAGGCAGCAGUAGGGAAUCUUCCGCAAUGGGCGAAAGCCUGACGGAGCAACGCCGCGUGAGUGAUGAAGGUCUUCGGAUCGUAAAACUCUGUUAUUAGGGAAGAACAUAUGUGUAAGUAACUGUGCACAUCUUGACGGUACCUAAUCAGAAAGCCACGGCUAACUACGUGCCAGCAGCCGCGGUAAUACGUAGGUGGCAAGCGUUAUCCGGAAUUAUUGGGCGUAAAGCGCGCGUAGGCGGUUUUUUAAGUCUGAUGUGAAAGCCCACGGCUCAACCGUGGAGGGUCAUUGGAAACUGGAAAACUUGAGUGCAGAAGAGGAAGGUGGAAUUCCAUGUGUAGCGGUGAAAUGCGCAGAGAUAUGGAGGAACACCAGUGGCGAAGGCGACUUUCUGGUCUGUAACUGACGCUGAUGUGCGAAAGCG